Molecule: non-coding RNA, 773 nt
Organism: Nicotiana tabacum (common tobacco)
Lineage: Eukaryota; Viridiplantae; Streptophyta; Magnoliopsida; Solanales; Solanaceae
Source: RefSeq, a predicted model, not a curated record
CUUCAGUCGUCUCCCUCACCUCUCUCACUCACCUCCGCCGUCGCCGCCUACCGGGAAUCGCCCAUGGCGGCGAUAAUACUCCAAACCACCCCAAAUUUGUACCCUACACUCCCCACACCCUCCUAAACCUUAUCCCCCCAUUAAUUUCCCCAAAGUCCACACCCAUCUUCUUCAAUUUCAAAUCUGAAAUUCCAAAAAAAAAAAACCUAAUCCGUUCCUCCUUCUGAUUUUUAAUGAUUUCAAGGCUCGAUUCGAGCCGAAAUUUAUGCCAAUCGAUUGUUCUCAGUAAGAACAAUCGAUUAGUGUCAUUUUCGGCUCAUUUCGAAGUUGCCGGAGUCCGGUCUAUUCAUCGUUGGCGGCCAGAUUUCAUCAAUUCCAUCGUUCGUCGUCUCGCCUCAUUCGUCGUCACAUUUCUGGUCAAAAAUCAGACAUGGAAUCAGUCCACAACAACUCAUGUGUAGAUCAGAGUAAAUCUUUAUUGCAUCAGGAAUAUGUAAAGUGAGAAUCUGACAAAUGGAGUGAGAUUCAGGAAAUUGAUCCUAUGGGAGAGGGCUCAGUUGAAAUAGUAUCAACUCUAAUAAAGUUUUUGACAAAUACAUUCCUGUUUUUAGUUUAUCUUGUCUAGUUAGGCAAAUUUGAUUAGCGGACAGAUUUUGUAAUCUUAAAUUCCAUUGUAUUGAGUUUUCAGAAAUAUGUGGUUGGAUAUGUUAGAUGAUAAUUACGGCUGUUUACUUUAAUAUUGUUAAUGGCAUAUAGAUUACUAUUAGUGAAAA